UUCGAUUUUCUAAUAUGCGUACCUUGGAAAAUAUGAAUUGAACUAUUAUUAUUGUUGAUCUGACUUGGCAAUUCUCAGCGUCAAUUAUUCUUACUAGGCUUGUAAUAAUCAAGGAUCGAGUAAUUAAUUAAUUAAAGCUCUUGAAUCAUGGAAGUAAUGCAUGAAUGCAUCAAGUAAUCCGGAUCAGAAUAGUAAAACCAAAGAAGCACAACUUUUAUUCCCGCAGAUAGUCUUAGCCUAGGUUACAUAAAUUAAUGCAUGAAUGCAUGAGCAGCAGCUGCAUGCAAUAUUAUUGAACCCAAAUCACAACAAAAGGAAAACUUAAGACAAUGCCACUUUCGCAGGGAACGCGAUUGCAUUUAGCGUAUGCAACAAGCCUUUUAAACCUAUAGGUGACCCUGAUAGGACGAGUGAAGUCUCGUGAGGGUUUCCAGUGACGCUACCCACAAACAUCGUAUUAACUUAACAGGAUGAUCAUCCUGGAAGUUUUUCGACAAUGAAGAAAUGUUCAUGGGUGGGGCCUCCAGGUUCUGCAAUGAGGGCAUUUUCGAACUCGUUUCCAGAUUUUGGCUUUAAAAGGUUUCCCAUUUUCUCAUGGUGGAACUUGUAUAUGCCUUCGGUGUACGGUCCUGGUGGUUUCACAACCUCAGGCUUGAAGAGUGUACAUGACCACAGCGUUUUAUUUGGCUGUUUCUCGUCAGCCCCGGCCACAAUCCACGAACUGUCUUGGCUUGCCGUUAUCCAGUAUUUGUCGUUGUAGGUGGAUUUUAUAUGCACCAGACUGGGGAGGUUUACGUCCUUCUCCACUUUGAACCUUGCGUAUUUGCUCUGAACAUCCUCUCCGGAGCAUUGGAGAAUAUCUUGCAUCUUUUCGGUGGCUUGGUCUUUGUAGACCAAGUAUUUACCGCUCGUGAAUGAUUUAAGAGCAAUGAACUUUGGUAAUUCUGCCAUUUCUGAUGAUCUCUCGCUCGCGCUUCAAUUUUUUUUUAUGUAAACUCACUUCUCUCUCUCUCUCUCGUUGCUUAUUGCUUUUCCUAACUCCAACCUGCUGUGCUAUUUAUAAUCAAGCAAACCCAAACCCUGCAUGCAGCUCUGGCUUCUUUUUCUUGCUGUACUGGCCCGCGAUAAGAAAAUUGAAGCCACAAAAAAAAAAAGUCGAGCCAGGUGGCAGUUUUGAAAGGUCAAGUAAUAUUGUUCUUGAUAUAAAACAAACUAAAGCGUGCUCCACGUCUUCAAAUAAAACAAAGUUAAGGCUAGUAAUUAUCGACAUCGAUAUUUUGCGAUAUUAUCGUCGAUAUUGUCAAUAUUUAUACGAUAUGUACAUGGAUAUGUUUCGAAAUAUCCGUGAUUCAAAAAAACCGAAAUAUCCUCGAUAUUUCCUCGAUAUUAUCGAUAUUUCAGACUAUGAUGUGAACUUGAUUAUGUAAUUUCUACUACAUGCACUUAUGGGACAUAACCAUUUAUCAAUUAUAAUAAUGUCACAUAAAAAUUGAAGCCACAAAAAAAAAAAAGUCAAGCCAGGUGGCAGUUUUGAAAGGUCAAGUAAUAAUGUUCUUGAUAUAAAACAAACUAAAGCGUGCUUCACGUCUUCAAAUAAAACAAAGUUAAGCCUAGUAAUCUAUUCUCUGUUGUAAUGUGAACUUGAUUAUGUAAUUUCUACUACAUGCACUUAUGGACAUAACCAUUUAUCAAUUAUAAUAAUGUCAUCGACUAGGACUGAACAGCGACGGCUGAAGGCCCAGCUCAUUCUUAAUCUUAGGCAACACAUGUGCUGGGUUUCAUUUCAUAAAUUCAUAACCAAACCAAGCUAGGUCAUAGAAGGAAGCAAAUUAAGCAAUUGAAAUCCACAUCGGCUGAAAAAAUCUCUCUUGAAAAACCAUAUAAUUGGAGGGUCUGCAAAACUAGACUGUGUGUACGUAGCCAACUUUAUUAAAAUGCCAAUUCAAGUCCUAUGAACACACAUUUCCUUGAAAGUUGCUGGCCAAAUUUUCUUUGUUUUGGUUUUCAAUGAGUUCGAUUUCCUUGAGCAUCACUGAAAAGAUAUUAUAUAUGUGAAAUCUUUUUGUCAGUCUUUGAAUUUACCCAAUGUGGGUGAUCAAUUUUUAUGAUUGCAUUCUAGACUUCUCCUUAGUACAAAACAAAACUACGUGAUUGAUUGAAACGUCAUUAAUUAAUUUAGACAUAUAGGCAUUUGCAUUAAUUCAUUCUAGAUAGUAGAUACACAUCUCCAUAACGCAGAAAGAAUUAGCAUGUCCUUAAUGUGAACUUCGUUAAUAAAUUGAAGAGGAGUUGGAGAACAGUUAGAUGAAUGAAUUAAAGAGGAGUUGGAGAGACGCGGAUGCAAGGGCACACUAAGAAAACUACAGGGUUUAUUUAUAGUUUUAGUGCUAAUAAUGGGUAUAUGACUAAAUAUCUCUAUAAAAAAAAUUAGUGAAUUUAAUCAGAAUGUAAUGACUUAUAGAAUUUUACCUUGGGGCACUUUAAGUCCGUUCCUCCUUAAUAAAGCAUCACUUAAUAGAUUUGAAUUAUGAGCUGAACCCUCCCACCCGCUAAAAACGUAAAUGAAUUCUAAAUCAAAGUUACAAGCUACUGAAACCAUUUAUCAAUUAUAAUUAUGUCAUUAAUUAGGAUUGAACAAUAUGAUUGUAAUGCCAUUUCUAAAGCGUGCUUCACGUCUUCAAAUAAAACAAAGUUAGGCCUAGUAUUUUCUUCUUUAUUGUUUCGGUGCUUAAUGUGAACUUCAUUAUGUAACUUCUAUUACUUGUACUUAAGGGCCAUAGCCAUUUAUCAAAUUAUAAUGAUGUCAUUAAUUAGGAUUGAACAACAAGGUCGUUGAGAUGUUUACAUACUUUAAUUACAGACAUAUGAUAAGUUUAGGAGAGUGAUAUGUAGUUUCAAUUAUUCCUUUCACACAUACCCUAAACUUUAAACCCUAAACCCCUUUCUCUUAAGCAAAAUCUAUCGGUUUUGGGUAAGUUUGAGACACUUGUGGACGAUUGUUUUUAAUUUGGACCCUAUGAAAAUACCUGUAGGAUGUCUAUAUAAAUACCUAGAGAAGGUUAAAUAGGCUAAUUCGAUUUUUGCAAUGAAUAAUAAUCAACUUUUGAAGUAGGAUUGAUAUGAGUUAUCAAUCCUGAAAUGUGCAGAGCUUAAAAUAAAAGAACACACAGAUAUUUAUUUUACGUGGUAAAACCCCACAUCUGGGGAAAAUCCACGGGACUCCUUAGUCCAGAACGAAUCCACUAUAGAAUUGAGAUUACAAGAAGUUCUCACACACACUUAUCCUAGACUCAAUGUUUACCGACUUAUUCAUAAUGUUUACCGACUUAUUCAUAACUCAACUUUUGUCAUGGGAUGAUCUUCGACACUCCUUAUGUUGAACGCAAUAUUGGUCACGAUUGCUUCAAGCUCACCGGAGGAUAAACGCCACAAACGUCUUGAUGCCCUUGACCGUAUGAGCCACUGACAUGCAUAUGUAUGCAAUAUGAAUGAUGAAUGAGUUUGAUAAAUCACCAAGCAACCAGGAGCCCUUGAUGACUUACCGAGAAAAAUAAGUACAGUAGCUUUUCCAAAAAACAGAUUCAAUAUGCUCUCAAAAUCAAUGCGUUGAAAUGCUACACUAUGAAAAGAAGACACCUUGGUUUUAUUCAAAACAGGUUCUCUCAGUCAAGAGAAACCUACUUGACCACCAAUCCAAUUCACGAAAGACUUUCAACCUUAUUCAACUACCACACAACAAAACCUGAUGCAAUAUGGACACUAGUUAAACAUGUCAAACAGGAGACCACUCAUACUGUUCAAGCAUGAAUGUUUCUUUUGAUUCAAUUUACAUGCUAUGUGAUGAUGCCAGCUAAUGCACGAUGUGAGGAAACCUCAUGACUUUCUACUACAGCCAAUCCUUUAAAACAAUAUCUACCUAACAAAUUAAUUAGACCGAUCAAGUAGGAAAUAAUAUCAAGAGAUAAAAUAUAAUCUUAUUGAAAAUAGGAUUAACAUAAAAAUACUUGAGUGAAAAUAAUUUCAAUUAGGAGUCCUAUAAUGAAUGCAUGAUUAUGUUAUGAUUUACCUGUUGUCAAGUUUCUCAUAUGGUCAGGUCAUGCCUCGGAAGUAUAGGGUUGAGAGAGUUGUGCCAAAGCGUCCAGUAACAAUUCCUCACAAACUAAUUUUCAACUUAUGCUAAAGUCUAGGAAAUGCCAAUACGAUUUUCGUACUAACACCCUACAAACAAAUAAAUUAAAGAAAAAAAAGUAAAAGAAGAAAAGAAUAUAAAUUCAUAUAUCUCAAUUUCUUGUGUGAAGCUUUUAAAUUCAUUUCAAAACUAAAAUUAAAAUUUAUUUGUUUUGGUUUUCAAUAAGAUUAAGUUGGAUUUCCUAAAGCAUCAUCACUGAUCUGAUGGCAUCAGAUAAGUCUUUGAAUUACCUAAUGUGAUUGAUUGAUUGGAAUGUAUCCUUAAUACUAAAAAAAAACCAUGUGAUCGACACGUCAUUGAGCACUUCCACUCUAUCGGCAAGGGCAAGGCAAGAGCAAGAGUUUAGGAUAAGAUUUUUAGUUGCCACUUGUCCAUAUUUAUUAUAACAUUCACAUCUCAAAUUUCAUAUAAAAUUUUCGAAUAAGAUUUUCGAUUGCCACGUAUCCAUAUUUAUUAUAAAAUUCACAUUUCACUCAUCAUACAAUUGAAAUACUUGUUCACUCAUCAUACAAUUGAAGAUAUCAAGAAAUUUCGAAAAUUGGGCAUCCACUUUGUUUUUUCGAAGACGUUGAGGGAACGGAAUUGGCGGUACAUAUGGCUUUACAAGGGCAGCAGGUUGAGAUAAUUUCUCUACAGUAGCAGGUUCAAUUUCUGGAGAAAUUUCAUCAAGUUGUGCAGUAGUUCCAGCAGUAAUAGACGACGACGACGGCACGUUAGUAAUUUCUGAUGUCUCUGCAGUUUGUUGAUGGAUAUUCUUUUCUUCAUCCAAGUCUACUGCUGUUUUUAUUGGCCUCCCAUUCCAAAGAGUUAUCGCCCUCGCAUGUUCUUGGUUUUUCGGAUUAUUCUCUGUUUGGCUUGGCAAAGCUCCAUUUACUCUUCCUGUCAAUACAUUAGCUAGCUGGCCCAUCUGAACCUCCAAGUUUCGAAUAGAGGCAGCUUGGUUCUGAAGGGUCGUCUCGGUUUUGCUCAUAAAUUGAUUUGUAUUGACAGAGAGAGUGUUGACAUUUCCAGCAAGUUGAGUAAUUAUAUCCUCCAAUCCAUGCUUCUUUUCUUGAGGUGUGAAAUCAGGUGGAGGUCCCUGUACAUUUUGGUUAUUACUCCAUGGAAAAUUCGGAUGGUUCUUCCAUCCUGGGUUAUAAGUGUUGGAGUAAGGAUUAUUCCGUUGUCGAUUAAAAUUAGAGACUUGGUUCACUUGUUCAGAUGGUGAUGUGAAUGGACUAGCUCCACACUCAUUGCCAUGAUGAGGUCCUGCACAAAAUUCACAACUUAAAUUAGUAUACUGAAUAGCAUUAACAUUUAUAGUACCAAGUUGUUUAGACAUAGUAGAAAUUUGCGCAGUUAACGCAGAUAUGGCGUCAAUCUCAUGAAUUCCAGCUUUCUUUGGUGUUGAUCUCUCACUAGGCCAUUGAUAGUUAUUUGACGCCAUCUCUUCCAGCAAGUUAUACGCUUUAGUUUCUGUUUUUCCCAUCAAAGCUCCUCCGGCUGCAGCAUCAAUUGUUGUUUUGCUUGUAUUGUUCAAACCAUUGUAGAACGCUUGAACUUGCAUCCAAGUAGGUAGGGCAUGAUGUGGGCACUUCCUUAGCAUAUCCUUGUAUCUGUCCCAUGCUUCAUAAAAAGGUUCCAUGUCAUUCUGAGCAAAUGACAUGAUGUCAUUUCUGAGUUUCGCAGUCUUUGCAGGAGGAAAGAAUUUAGCUAAAAAUUUCUUGGCCAAGUCGUCCCAUGUAGUAAUCGAAUUAGGUGGUUGAGAAUUCAACCAUGACUUUGCCUUUUCCUUUAAUGAGAAAGGAAAAAGCCUUAAGCGAACAGCAUCAUUGGUAGCUCCAUUGCGCUUAAAUGUGUCACAUAUCUCCAAGAAAUUAGAGAUAUGCCUAUUAGGGUCUUCUUGAGGUAAACCACAAAAGAUGGAGGAUUGUUGAAUCAUUGAAAUUAUGGCUGGUCUGAUUUUAAAAUUAUUGGCAUCAAUGGUUGGACGACGAAUGCUCGAUGGUGAUGCCACCACAGAUGGGACAUCAUAGUCCCUUACUGGUUUUGCUUCCACAGCCAUAGGUGAUGGCUUUUCCAAUAUUGCGUCCUUGCCCCUUUUGAGUUUGUUAAGCUUGUGAAGUGUUCGCUCGAUCUCUAGAUCUAAUGGUACAAGCACAAGACUCUGCGAACGUCUCCCAAAACUCAUGCACUAGGUGAAGUACCUAAAAAAACAAAAAACAAAAUUCAAAUUAAAAUUCAAAUCAAUCUAUAUCGAUAUUAAUAAAAUUUAAAACACUCUCCGACGGCGGCGCCAAAAACUUGUUGUGAUAUUUAUUGCAAGCGCACAAUUCGCACAAGUAAUAUAGUGAUGAGUGAAGUGUCGUUCCCACGAAGAGUGAUUUAAUUUAACAAGUACCGAUUGUGAUUAACCCAAGACUUUAUUUGAACAAUUGAUGAUGAGAUUUGAUUGAUUAAUUAACUAAAACAAUGAAUAAAAACAAGCGUAGAAAAAUAAAGUAGUGAGAUUCAAGUUAUGAGAGCACUAGAGCUUCCGAUUUCACCAUAGCCAAUUCUACCCAAUUCCUUUAGCAUGUUAAUCCUAAUUAUUCUCUAUGUUGACAGUUGAUUUUCCCUACUUUAUUCGAUACUCCAUCCCUGGUUAUACCAAAAGUAUUCUUAUUACCAACCCACUCUAUCCCUAGUAAUGGAAUUAAGAUAAUAAGAACCCAUUAAAUUCCUUGGAAAACCUACAAAACAACCACAUAAGUCAUGACAAACAUCUCUGUCUAAUCAUGUAACUCAUGACAUCUAUUACAAGAAGCAACCCCAAAUUGGAUAUUCCUAUUUUCAAUUUAGCAUCAAAACAAUUAAAUGUUGGCCAAACAUUCAAAGCAUUAAGCAUGGUAAUAAAUACUCAACAUGGAAAAAAUACUUGGAAUUAACAUCGACUAAAGUAAUUGAGCAUUCAUGGCUAGGCUACAUCGUAGCCCUAGCAAGAAGAAAUUAGUUCAUGACAACUUUAAUAAAAACCAUGAUAAAUAGUAUCAUAGGAAAGAAGUAACCAAUUGAAGAUUUGAUCUCUGCACGACAGCAACUCUAGCUCCAGGUUGUCUUCUUUGUCUCUCUAAAACUCUCUCAACAAUAGAUGAUGGGUAGAUGAUGGAGGAUGGAUGAUGGGUAAUGGAUCCUUUCAACAAUGACCUAAACUCCCUAUUUAUAAAACUCCUAGAAAUCCUACCUAAAGAAUAAUUACAAUUGUUAUAAAAAUAGGAUUCCUUCUAAAAUAAGGUCUUCUUUAUUUCUCCUUGUUUAACUUGAUAAGACUUGCACCAUCUUGAACUAGGAAAUUUGACAACAUUCCUUGCAACAAAAGGAAUGACUUGGCUUCUUUUUUUAUUGAUUUUCAUCUCCUUGCCUUUUUUAGCACACUUUCUCCUAUUUCACAAUUCCUUCACAAAUCUCACAAAACUAAUUAAAAACAACCAAUUUAAUCCAAGAAAUUAAUAAAUAAAUAAGCAAAGGAGGCAUAAAAUAUAUAUAAAAUAUAGACUUAUCAAAUACCCCCAAACCUGUCUUUUGCUAGUCCUCGAGCAAAACUGAAAAUCAAAAAUAAAUUAAAACAAACAAACUAAAUUAAACCACUUUUGCAGGUAAUCUCGAUGGCACUUAGCAUGUGCCACAAGCCUUUAAACCUCUAGGUGCCCCUAGUAGGAGGAGUUGUGUCUCUUGAGGGUUUACCAGUCAUGACACCCACAGACACUUCUUGCAAAACAAAUUCGUUAAAGCAAUACUUCCAACAAACUAAUAAUAACCAAUGAAUGCUAAUCACAAUUCAAAAACUAAAGUUAUGCCACUACAAAUAAAAUGCACCAUAGUGUAAAGUGUAAAGUGUAAAGCCAAAAAUCCAACAUUGAAACAUAAAGAUAACCACAUUAGGCGUGUGUACAAAUUCGUCUCGACUCUAGGCCUUACUGGAUAACUCUCAAUUUUCUCACAGAACCUAGGGUUGCACUCUUACCCCGCAUAUGUGAAUAAAGUUAGGUGAAGAAUUCAAAAUAUAAGACACAUAUGCAUCCAAGAAUCAAUAAAAGGAAAUUUCUAACAAUAGAUCUCAUGGAAAGGAAAUCAAAUACUAAAAACCAUAGAUGAAGUACAUACCUCUACUUCCGAGUAAGAAGUCCCCAAAAAUCCGUUAGGUCUUUACUAUGGUUGUAAUGAAGGGCUAGGUUAUGGGUUAUGAAAGAAAAGGAAGGAAAUACUAGAACUUGAGACAUGCCAAGGCAUUUAUCACGUUAUAAGGCUCGGCUCUUCAAAUUUACUUCACAGAGGCGUCCAGGAUUUUUGAUAUGCUUCACAUUUUUUUUUCUUUAAUAGAUUUCUCUUUUUUUUUUUCCUUUCUUUUUAUUUAUUUAUUUAUUUUUAAGCACAUAUUUCCUCGGUACACGCCACCUCUUUUGUUAAUUUAGAGAUUAACCUUCAUCCUUGUCUUCAUGCCAUGGCAUAUCCCAAGUUAUAGGGUAUGGCUAAAAAUAGGGUGAAAAGGGUAAGAAAAUAUUGUGGGUGAUGAAAGAAAAGGCUAAGUGUUUGGCUUCAAAGGGUUGAUGGCACACACAAUGGGUAGGACAUGAGUUUUUAUUUAGUGGCUAGAACAUGCAUAGCCUAACAUCAUUUCUCAAGGUCCAUCCAACUCAAAAGUAAAAGCAUGAGAUGAUUCCAAAAUAGAGAGUAGUUCUUAGUAUUCAACUCAAAAGCCUAAUUGAGAUCAAUUUAAAUAAGAAAGAAAGAAAAUAGUGAAUAAGACUAAUCCCAAAUACUCUCUCAAUGAAUGGCAAUUUGGCUCAAGUAUCUCACAAUGGUAGUCUCCACUAUUUCUCCACAAUCAUCCAAGUAUAGCUAGCUUGUCUAUUAAAAUACUUGAAGCAUGGCCAUGUGAAGUGCUAUACUUAUGAUGCAUAAACUUUCAUGGCAACACUUUAGUUAAAGAAAUAUGAUCAAACAUCACAUAUACAUCACUAUUAGUAAGAGAAAGUAAAAGCUUUAACAAAUUUUUUUUUUUUUUUUAAAAAGUUAAAGGCAUUUUGUGAUUUUUUUCAAACAAAUGUGAGUGAAUUUAUGGGCCAUAAUUGCUUAGGGAUAAAGAAAUUUCAUCAAAAGGAAGAGGACACACCUGGAAUAGCUCCUAGAAACCUCUGAUCACAAAUGGAAUGGAUCAUAAUUGAUUUGGAAUGAAAUUAGAAAAUUCUGGAAAAUUGACCUUUAGCGACGAAAAAUCUGAUGAAACACCGUCGCUAAAAACCCUUUUGUGACGAAAAAUCUUCAUAUUCUGGGUAGGUAGCAGCUAGUCUUUUUUGGGUUUUAGGCCACUUUUUUAGCUUCAAAUCUCCCUAAAACGUCAUGUAAAGCACUUGAGACCCCCAAAACAGUUUCAAAUCAUCAUAAUAACCAUUCUAAACAUGUUGGUGGCUUCAAAUUUGCCUGAAAAACAUCAAAAAGGAAAAUAUGUAAAAUUUUUAAUUUUGACCAAAAUAAGAACAUAAUAACCUAUUUUGCUAUUUUCUGGGUUUUAAAGUCAUCUAAUGGCCAAAACAACAUCUGGAACAUGUUUGCAAUCAUCACGGGGCUAGAAAAAAUCGAGAAAUGUUCUUUGAAACACAAAAUCCUUUCUUUGGAACACAAAAUCUUUUUUUCUUUUUUUUUUCUUUAUGACUCAAAACUCAAACAAAAAACAACUAAACUCCACACCCCCAAAUCUAAAUUAAGCAUUGUCCUCAAUGUUUAAAGUAAAUGCAUGUAAAAAUUAGUAAAGGCAUAGAAGGAUGGAAAAUAAAGGGAAAACAAAACAAAAUAAAAUAAAAAGGAACGAAGGUACCUAGUUGGGUUGCCUCCCAACAAGCGCUUGAUUUAUAGUCCCCAGCCCGACUUGCGAGGUCAUCACUUUGGAUCAUGUAGAGGAAUGAAAGUUCGCUGUUGAUCAAAAUUGACUUCCAAGUAUGGCUUCACUCAUUGGCCAUUUACUUUGAAAAUAGUACCUUGUUCGUCAUGCCUAACCUCAAUAACUCCAGAAGGAAAUACUUGCACUAUUGUAAAUGGUCCAGACCAACGUGAUUUCAACUUCCCGGGAAAGAGUCGGAGGCGGGAAUUAAAUAGGAGAACUUUCUAACCAGCGAAGAAAUCCUUCCUUAGAAUAUGCUUAUCAUGCCAUUUCUUUGUACGCUCCUUGUAUAUCUUGGAAGUCUCAUAAGCUUCAUUACAAAACUCAUCCAUAUCAUUCAAUUGAAUUGCCCGUUUUUCUCCUGCUGCAAUCAUGUCAAAAUUGAGUGUUUGGAGUGCCCAAUGUGCCUUAUGUUCGAGCUCAACCGGUAAGUGACAAGCUUUCCCAAAAACUAGACGAUAAGGAGACAUGCCAAUUGGUGUUUUGAACUCCGUUCGAUAGGCACAUAAGGCAUCAUCCAAUUUCAGUGACCAAUCCUUUCUUGAAGCACUCACCGUCUUUUCCAAAAUUCGUUUUAAUUCUCUAUUGGAAACUUCAACUUGUCCACUAGUUUGUGGAUGAUAGGGAGUAGUAACCUUGUGGGUAAUACCAUAUUUAGCUAAAAGAUAAUUAAAUUGACGAUUGCAAAAGUGUGUACCUCUGUCACUGAUGAUGCCACGCGGAGUCCCGAAUCUGGUGAAAAUAUUUUUUUGGACAAAUUUGACAACCACCUUGGCGUCAUUGGUAGGGAGAGCGACGGCUUCAACCCAUUUCGACACAUAAUCAACAGCCACCAAUAUGUACUUGUUCUUCCAAGAUUCAGGGAAAGGUCCCAUGAAAUCUAUUCCCCAGACAUCGAACAAUUCAACCUCUAGAAUAUUAUUCAAUGGCAUCUGAUUUCUGCUAGAAAUAUUUUCAGUGCGUUGGCAUCGAUCACAGGCAGCUACAAAUGCAUAGGCAUCCUUGAACAAAGUUGGCCAAAAAAAUCCAGAUUGUAAUACCUUGGCUGCUGUUUUGGAGGCACCAAAAUGCCCCCCACAUGCCAAUGUGUGGCAAUGUCGCAAUAUGUCUUCCAUCUCCUCCUCAGGCACACAUCUCCGUAUAACUUGGUCAGGGCAAUGUUUCCACAAAUAUGGGUCGUCCCAAUAAUAAUGUUUAACCAAGGAGAAAAACUUCUUCUUCUGAUGAAACGAUAAAUCAGCUGGAAUGAUAGUACUAGCUAAAUAAUUCACAAAGUCAGCGUACCAAGGAGCUUCGGAUGAUCGAAUGGCAUACAAGUGUUCAUCAGGGAACAUCUCCAUAAUGGGUGCAGCAUCAUCACUCAUCUUUACCUCACUGACCAGCCGCGAAAGAUGGUCAGCUACCACGUUUUCGGACCCCUUUUUGUCUCGAAUUUCAAGAUCAAAUUCUUGGAGCAGUAGUACCCAGCGAAUUAAUCGUGGUUUUGCAUCUUUCUUCGAAAGUAAAUACUUUUAUCCAAGGAGAAGAUUACUACUAACAAUUCUUUCUCCGUGGUGGUAUAAUUCCGCUGGGCGUCAUUCAAAGUACGACUGGCAUAAUAAAUUACAUGAAGUAAUUUAUUUCUUCUUUGACCCAAAACUGCCCCUACCGCAUAGUCACUAGCAUCACACAUAAUCUCAAAAGGCAAGUCCUAAUCCGGUGCGACAAUGACAGGUGCAGAAGUAAGCUUCUCUUUCAAGACAUUAAAAUUAAAUUCUACAUCUUUAAGAAGGAGAUUGCAUAAGGGCUUCGUGAUUUUGGAAAAAUCUUGGAUAAACCGCCGAUAAAAUCCAGCAUGACCCAGAAAGCUUUGAAUCCCCUUUAUUGUAGUGGGCGGUGGCAAUUUCUCUACGGUAUCAAUUUUUGCCUUAUCAACCUCUAUGCCUUUAGCUGAAAUUUUAUGCCCUAGGACUAUCCCUUCUUGCACCAUAAAAUGGCAUUUCUCCCAAUUCAAAACCAAAUUGGUUUCUUCACAUCUUUUCAAAACUAAUGCCAAAUUAUGUAAACAAGAAUCAAAUGAUGAGCCAAAAACAGAAAAGUCAUCCAUAAAAACCUCAAUGAAGCGCUCCACCAUGUCCGAAAAGAUGCUCAUCAUGCAACGUUGAAAGGUGGCAGGGGCGUUACACAACCUGAAAGGCAUGCGCCUGUAUGCAAAAGUGCCGAAUGGGCAUGUGAACGUCGUCUUUUCUUGAUCUUCAGGUGCAAUUGGAAUUUGAUUAUACCCAGAAUAUCCAUCUAAAAAACAAUAAUAUGAAUGCUCAGCAAGUCUUUCCAACAUCUGAUCAAUGAAAGACAAGGGAAAGUGAUCUUUCCUUGUCGCAGUGUUCAAUUUCCUGUAGUCUAUGCAGACAUGCCAUCCUGUAGUUGUUCUUGUCGGGAUCAACUCAUUCUUAUCAUUUUUCACCACUGUAAUACCCCCUUUUUUCGGUAGGACUUGAACUGGACUCACCCAACUACUAUCUGAAAUCGGGUAAAUUAUUCCAGCAUCUAAUAACUUUAAUAUUUCAGCUCGCACAACUUCUUUCAUAUUCGGAUUUAAUCGACGCUGAUGCUCAACUGAAGGUUUAAAAUCAUCUUCCAUCAGAAUACGGUGCAUACACAUGGAACGGCUAAGUCCCUUAAUAUCUGCAAUAGUCCACCCUAUUGUCGUUUUAUGCUCCCUCAAAACUCAUAGUAAUUUAUCUUCUUCUAGUUUACUCAAAUUUGCAGCAAUAAUCACAGGAAGAGUUUCAAAAUUACCCAAGUAUGCAUAUCUUAAGUGGGAAGGUAGGGGCUUCAAUGUGAGGGUUGGUGCAGUAAUGACACUGGGUUGUGGCUUGGAGGUUGUGACGCUAAGCUCCUCAAAUUCGCGCCACCUUCCAGGGGGGCGCGGUUUCAUUGCUUCCAAAAAGUACACCAUCUCAGAAAUUUUAGGAUCCUCAUGCUCAGUAGUAACGGAAUGCACAAGGCAAGCCUUCAAUGGAUCAUAUGGAUGUUCUUCUUUAAAUUUUUCAGAGACAACUUUUUCCACUAUAUCCACUCGGAAGCAAGAGUCUGAUUCCACUGGGUACUUUGUUGCUUCAAAGACAUUGAAGGUCACCUGCUCAUCAGCCACUCGCAAAAUUAAUAAACCUUUGUCCACAUCAAUUAAUGUCUUCCCGGUUUUUAGAAAGGGGCGGCCUAAGAUAAUAGGGGUUUCGGCAUCUUCUUCCAUGUCUAAAAUCAAAAAAUCUGCUGGAAAAAUGAGCUUAUCAACUUUGACUAACACAUCCUCAAUUAUGCCUUUGGGAUAUGUUAUGGACCUGUCCCCCAUCUGCAAAGAAACAGUGGUUGGGUGAAUUACCCCCAACCCAAUAUGUUUAGCAAUAGAAGAAGGCAUUAGAUUAAUACUGGAUCCUAAAUCACAUAAAGCUUUUUCAAAGUAAGUGGUUCCAAUAGUGCAAGGUAUAGUAAAACUCCCUGGAUCCUUUAGCUUAGGUGGUAGCUUCCUCUGCAAAAUAGCACUGCAUUCUUCGGAUAAUUUCACUAUCUCAUGUUCGCCCAAUUUCCUCUUCUUUGAUAUAAUAUCCUUCAUGAAUUUGGCAUAACUCGGCAUUUGCUCCAAAGCAUCGGCAAAAGGAAUAUUUAUUUGUAAUUUCUUGAAGAUAUCAAGAAAUUUCAAAAAUUGGGCAUCCACUUUGUUUUUUCGAAGACGUUGAGGGAACGGGAUUGGCGGUACAUAUGGCUUUACAAGGGCAGCAGGUUGAGAUAAUUUCUCUACAGUAGCAAGUUCAAUUUCUGGAGACAUUUCAUCAAGUUGUGCAGUAGUUCCAGUAGUGAUAGACGACGACGACGGCACGUUAGUAAUUUCUGAUGUCUCUGCAGUUUGUUGAUGGAUAUUAUUUUCUUCAUCCAAGUCUACUGCUGUUUUUAUUGGCCUCCCAUUCCGAAGAGUUAUCGCCUCCGCAUGUUCUUAGUUUUUUGGAUUAAUCUCUGUUUGGCUUGGCAAAGCUCCAUUUACUCUUCCUGUCAAUACAUUAGCUAGCUGGCCCAUCUAAACCUCCAAGUUUCGAAUAGAGGCAGCUUGGUUCUGAAGGGUCGUCUCGGUUUUGCUCAUAAAUUGAUUUGUAUUGACAGAGAGAGUGUUGACAUUUCCAGCAAGUUGAGUUAUUAUAUCCUCCAAUCCAUGCUUCUUUUCUUGAGGUGUGAAACCAGGUGGAGGUCCCUGUACAUUUUGGUUAUUACUCCAUGAAAAAUUCGGAUGGUUCUUCCAUCCUGGGUUAUAAGUGUUGGAGUAAGGAUUAUUCCGUUGUCGAUUAAAAUCAGAGACUUGAUUCACUUGUUCAGAUGUUGAUGUGAAUGGACUAGCUCCACACUCGUUGCCAUGAUGAGGUCCUGCACAAAAUUCACAACUUAAAUUAGUAGACUGAAUAGCAUUAACAUUUAAAAUACCAAGUUGUUUAGACAUAGUAGAAAUUUGUGCAGUUAACGCAGAUAUGGCGUCAAUCUCAUGAAUUCCAGCUUUCUUUGGUGUUGAUCUCUCACUAGGCCAUUGAUAGUUAUCUGACGCCAUCUCUUCCAGCAAGUUAUACGCUUUAGUUUCUGUUCUUCCCAUCAAAGCUCCUCCGGCUGCAGCAUCAAUUGUUGUUUUGCUUGUAUUGUUCAAACCAUUGUAGAACGCUUGAACUUGCAUCCAAGUAGGUAGGGCAUGAUGUGGGCACUUCCUUAGCAUAUCCUUGUAUCUGUCCCAUGCUUCAUAAAAAGGUUCCAUGUCAUUCUGAGCAAAUGACAUGAUGUCAUUCCUGAGUUUCGCAGUCUUUGCAAGAGGAAAGAAUUUAGCUAAAAAUUUAUUGGCCAAGUCGUCCUAUGUAGUAAUCGAAUUAGGUGGUUGAGAAUUCAACCACGACUUUGCCUUUUCCUUUAAUGAGAAAGGAAAAAGCCUUAAGCGAACAACAUCAUUGGUAGCUCCAUUGCACUUAAAUAUGUCACAUAUCUCCAAGAAAUUAGAGAUAUGGCUAUUAGGGUCUUCUUGAGGUAAACCACAAAAGAUGGAGGAUUGCUGAAUCAUUGAAAUUAUGGCUGGUUUGAUUUCAAAAUUAUUGGCAUCAAUGGUUGGACGACGAAUGCUCGAUGGUGAUGCCACCACAGAUGAGACAUCAUAGUCCCUUACUGGUUUUGCUUCCUCAGCCAUAGGUGAUGGCUUUUCCAAUAUUGCGUCCUUGCCCCUUUUGAGUUUGUUAAGCUUGUGAAGCGUUCGCUCGAUCUCUAGAUCUAAUGGUACAAGCACAAGACUCUGCGAACGUCUCCCAAAACUCAUGCACUAGGUGAAGUACCUAAAAAAACAAAAAACAAAAUUCAAAUUAAAAAAAUUCAAAUUAAAAUCCAAAUCAAUCUAUAUCGAUAUUAAUAAAAUUUAAAACACUCCCCGACGGGGGUGCCAAAAACUUGUUGUGAUAUUUAUUGCAAGCGCACAAUUCGCACAAGUAAUAUAGUGAUGACUGAAGUGUCGUUCCCACGAAGAGUGAUUUAAUUUACCAAGUACCGAUUGUGAUUAACCCAAGACUUUAUUUGAACAAUUGAUGAUGAGAUUUGAUUGAUUAAUUAACUAAAACAAUGAAUAAAAACAAGCGUAGAAAAAUAAAGUAGUGAGAUUCAAGUUAUGAGAGCACUAGAGCUUCCGAUUUCACCAUAGCCAAUUCUACCCAAUUCCCUUAGCAUGUUAAUCCUAAUUAUUCUCUAUGUUGACAGUUGAUUUUCCCUACUUUAUUCGAUACUCCAUCCCUGGUUAUAUCAAAAGUAUUCUCAUUACCAACCCACUCUAUCCAUAGUAAUGGAAUUAAGAUAAUAAGAACCCAUUAAAUUCCUUGGAAAACCUACAAAACAACCACAUAAGUCAUGACAAACAUCCCUGUCUAAUCAUGUAACUCAUGGCAUCUAUUACAAGAAGCAACCCCAAAUUGGAUAUUCCUAUCGUCAAUUUAGCAUCAAAACAAUUAAAUGUUGGCCAAACAUUCAAAGCAUUAAGCAUGGUAAUAAAUACUCAAGAUGGAAAAAAUACUUGGAAUUAACAUCGACUAAAGUAAUUGAGUAUUCAUGGCUAGGCUACAUCGUAGCCCUAGCAAGAAGAAAUUAGUUCAUGACAACUUUAAUAAAAACCAUGAUAAAUAGUAUCAUAGGAAAGAAGUAACCAAUUGAAGAUUUGAUCUCUGCACGACAGCAACUCUAGCUCCAGGUUGUCUUCUUUGUCUCUCUAAAACUCUCUCAACAAUAGAUGAUGGGUAGAUGAUGGAGGAUGGAUGAUGGGUAAUGGAUCCUUUCAACAAUGACCUAAACUCCCUAUUUAUAAAACUCCUAGAAAUCCUACCUAAGGAAUAAUUACAAUUGUUAUAAAAAUAGGAUUCCUUCUAAAAUAAGGUCUUCUUUAUUUCUUCUUGUUUGACUUGAUAAGACUUGCACCAUCUUGAACUAGGAAAUUUGACAACAUUCCUUGCAACAAAAGGAAUGACUUGGCUUCUUUUUAAUUGAUCUUCAUCUCCUUGCCUUUUUUAGCACAUUUUCUCCUAUUUCACAAUUCCUUCACAAAUCUCACAAAACCAAUUAAAAACAACCAAUUUAAUCUAAAAAAUUAAUAAAUAAAUAAACAAAGGAGGCAUAAAAUAUAUAUAUAUAAAAUAUAGACUUAUCACUAUAUAUAUAUUCUUUACAAAAAUUUAAAGCUCCUUAAAGCCCAUAGAAACCGGUAAAGUCACAGUUUUUUUGACUUUUGAAUAUGGGCAAUACACGAGAAGAUGGACAGUAUUUUGAUAACUCUGUUUAGACUAAAAGCUAAGGACUGUCUAUUAACAAAUAAUUCCAACAUGCAACCUUUUUAAUUAGUCUACUUCCUGAUUGCAGAUGGGGAAGAACUCCACUUAAUGAAGCCCGCAUAGGUGGAAAUAAGAAACUAAUCAAACUGUUUGAAGUUGCUAGAACUUUGUAGUUGUCAGAGUUAUCUAAUCAAUAUCAUCAAGAAAUUAGCUAGCUAAGCAUUUCUCUGAUCAAAAUGAUAAAUUGUCGAUCGGCAAUACAUUUAUCCUUUGAUUAAAUGAUAAAUGUUUAUAAGACUUGGAACAAAAGUUCUGAGAUGUUAUAUGUGUGAAUUUUGUUAGAAUCUUUAAUUCUCUUUUCGAUUUUCUAAUAUGCGUACCUUGGAAAAUAUGAAUUGAACUAUUAUUAUUGUUGAUCUGACUUGGCAAUUCUCAGCGUCAAUUAUUCUUACUAGGCUUGUAAUAAUCAAGGAUCGAGUAAUUAAUUAAUUAAAGCUCUUGAAUCAUGGAAGUAAUGCAUGAAUGCAUCAAGUAAUCCGGAUCAGAAUAGUAAAACCAAAGAAGCACAACUUUUAUUCCCGCAGAUAGUCUUAGCCUAGGUUACAUAAAUUAAUGCAUGAAUGCAUGAGCAGCAGCUGCAUGCAAUAUUAUUGAACCCAAAUCACAACAAAAGGAAAACUUAAGACAAUGCCACUUUCGCAGGGAACGCGAUUGCAUUUAGCGUAUGCAACAAGCCUUUUAAACCUAUAGGUGACCCUGAUAGGACGAGUGAAGUCUCGUGAGGGUUUCCAGUGACGCUACCCACAAACAUCGUAUUAACUUAACAGGAUGAUCAUCCUGGAAGUUUUUCGACAAUGAAGAAAUGUUCAUGGGUGGGGCCUCCAGGUUCUGCAAUGAGGGCAUUUUCGAACUCGUUUCCAGAUUUUGGCUUUAAAAGGUUUCCCAUUUUCUCAUGGUGGAACUUGUAUAUGCCUUCGGUGUACGGUCCUGGUGGUUUCACAACCUCAGGCUUGAAGAGUGUACAUGACCACAGCGUUUUAUUUGGCUGUUUCUCGUCAGCCCCGGCCACAAUCCACGAACUGUCUUGGCUUGCCGUUAUCCAGUAUUUGUCGUUGUAGGUGGAUUUUAUAUGCACCAGACUGGGGAGGUUUACGUCCUUCUCCACUUUGAACCUUGCGUAUUUGCUCUGAACAUCCUCUCCGGAGCAUUGGAGAAUAUCUUGCAUCUUUUCGGUGGCUUGGUCUUUGUAGACCAAGUAUUUACCGCUCGUGAAUGAUUUAAGAGCAAUGAACUUUGGUAAUUCUGCCAUUUCUGAUGAUCUCUCGCUCGCGCUUCAAUUUUUUUUUAUGUAAACUCACUUCUCUCUCUCUCUCUCGUUGCUUAUUGCUUUUCCUAACUCCAACCUGCUGUGCUAUUUAUAAUCAAGCAAACCCAAACCCUGCAUGCAGCUCUGGCUUCUUUUUCUUGCUGUACUGGCCCGCGAUAAGAAAAUUGAAGCCACAAAAAAAAAAAGUCGAGCCAGGUGGCAGUUUUGAAAGGUCAAGUAAUAUUGUUCUUGAUAUAAAACAAACUAAAGCGUGCUCCACGUCUUCAAAUAAAACAAAGUUAAGGCUAGUAAUUAUCGACAUCGAUAUUUUGCGAUAUUAUCGUCGAUAUUGUCAAUAUUUAUACGAUAUGUACAUGGAUAUGUUUCGAAAUAUCCGUGAUUCAAAAAAACCGAAAUAUCCUCGAUAUUUCCUCGAUAUUAUCGAUAUUUCAGACUAUGAUGUGAACUUGAUUAUGUAAUUUCUACUACAUGCACUUAUGGGACAUAACCAUUUAUCAAUUAUAAUAAUGUCACAUAAAAAUUGAAGCCACAAAAAAAAAAAAGUCAAGCCAGGUGGCAGUUUUGAAAGGUCAAGUAAUAAUGUUCUUGAUAUAAAACAAACUAAAGCGUGCUUCACGUCUUCAAAUAAAACAAAGUUAAGCCUAGUAAUCUAUUCUCUGUUGUAAUGUGAACUUGAUUAUGUAAUUUCUACUACAUGCACUUAUGGACAUAACCAUUUAUCAAUUAUAAUAAUGUCAUCGACUAGGACUGAACAGCGACGGCUGAAGGCCCAGCUCAUUCUUAAUCUUAGGCAACACAUGUGCUGGGUUUCAUUUCAUAAAUUCAUAACCAAACCAAGCUAGGUCAUAGAAGGAAGCAAAUUAAGCAAUUGAAAUCCACAUCGGCUGAAAAAAUCUCUCUUGAAAAACCAUAUAAUUGGAGGGUCUGCAAAACUAGACUGUGUGUACGUAGCCAACUUUAUUAAAAUGCCAAUUCAAGUCCUAUGAACACACAUUUCCUUGAAAGUUGCUGGCCAAAUUUUCUUUGUUUUGGUUUUCAAUGAGUUCGAUUUCCUUGAGCAUCACUGAAAAGAUAUUAUAUAUGUGAAAUCUUUUUGUCAGUCUUUGAAUUUACCCAAUGUGGGUGAUCAAUUUUUAUGAUUGCAUUCUAGACUUCUCCUUAGUACAAAACAAAACUACGUGAUUGAUUGAAACGUCAUUAAUUAAUUUAGACAUAUAGGCAUUUGCAUUAAUUCAUUCUAGAUAGUAGAUACACAUCUCCAUAACGCAGAAAGAAUUAGCAUGUCCUUAAUGUGAACUUCGUUAAUAAAUUGAAGAGGAGUUGGAGAACAGUUAGAUGAAUGAAUUAAAGAGGAGUUGGAGAGACGCGGAUGCAAGGGCACACUAAGAAAACUACAGGGUUUAUUUAUAGUUUUAGUGCUAAUAAUGGGUAUAUGACUAAAUAUCUCUAUAAAAAAAAUUAGUGAAUUUAAUCAGAAUGUAAUGACUUAUAGAAUUUUACCUUGGGGCACUUUAAGUCCGUUCCUCCUUAAUAAAGCAUCACUUAAUAGAUUUGAAUUAUGAGCUGAACCCUCCCACCCGCUAAAAACGUAAAUGAAUUCUAAAUCAAAGUUACAAGCUACUGAAACCAUUUAUCAAUUAUAAUUAUGUCAUUAAUUAGGAUUGAACAAUAUGAUUGUAAUGCCAUUUCUAAAGCGUGCUUCACGUCUUCAAAUAAAACAAAGUUAGGCCUAGUAUUUUCUUCUUUAUUGUUUCGGUGCUUAAUGUGAACUUCAUUAUGUAACUUCUAUUACUUGUACUUAAGGGCCAUAGCCAUUUAUCAAAUUAUAAUGAUGUCAUUAAUUAGGAUUGAACAACAAGGUCGUUGAGAUGUUUACAUACUUUAAUUACAGACAUAUGAUAAGUUUAGGAGAGUGAUAUGUAGUUUCAAUUAUUCCUUUCACACAUACCCUAAACUUUAAACCCUAAACCCCUUUCUCUUAAGCAAAAUCUAUCGGUUUUGGGUAAGUUUGAGACACUUGUGGACGAUUGUUUUUAAUUUGGACCCUAUGAAAAUACCUGUAGGAUGUCUAUAUAAAUACCUAGAGAAGGUUAAAUAGGCUAAUUCGAUUUUUGCAAUGAAUAAUAAUCAACUUUUGAAGUAGGAUUGAUAUGAGUUAUCAAUCCUGAAAUGUGCAGAGCUUAAAAUAAAAGAACACACAGAUAUUUAUUUUACGUGGUAAAACCCCACAUCUGGGGAAAAUCCACGGGACUCCUUAGUCCAGAACGAAUCCACUAUAGAAUUGAGAUUACAAGAAGUUCUCACACACACUUAUCCUAGACUCAAUCUAGAUAAUGUUUACCGACUUAUUCAUAACUCAACUUUUGUCAUGGGAUGAUCUUCGACACUCCUUAUGUUGAGCGCAAUAUUGGUCACGAUUGCUUCAAGCUCACCGGAGGAUAAACGCCACAAACGUCUUGAUGCCCUUGACCGUAUGAGUCACUGACAUGCAUAUGUAUGCAAUAUAAAUGAUGAAUGAGUUCGAUAAAUCACCAAGCAACCAGGAGCCCUUGAUGACUUACCGAGAAAAAUAAGUACAGUAGCUUUUCCAAAAAACAGAUUCAAUAUGCUCUCAAAAUCAAUGCGUUGAAAAGCUACACUAUGAAAAGAAGACACCUUGGUUUUAUUCAAAACAGGUUCUCUCACUCAAGAGAAACCUACGUGACCACCAAUCCAAUUCACGAAAGACUUUCAACCUUAUUCAACUACCACACAACAAAACCUGAUGCAAUAUGGACACUAGUUAAACAUGUCAAACAGGAGACCACUCAUACUGUUGAAGCAUGAAUGUUUCUUUUGAUUCAAUUUACAUGCUAUGUGAUGAUGCCAGCUAAUGCACGAUGUGAGGAAACCUCAUGACUUUCUACUACAGCCAAUCCUUUAAAACAAUAUCUACCUAACAAAUUAAUUAGACCGAUCAAGUAGGAAAUAAUAUCAAGAGAUAAAAUAUAAUCCUAUUGAAAAUAGGAUUAACAUAAAAAUACUUGAGUGAAAAUAAUUCCAACUAGGAGUCCUAUAAUGAAUGCAUAAUUAUGUUAUGAUUUACCUGUUGUCAAGUUUCUCAUAUGGUCAGGUCAUGCCUCGGAAGUAUAGGGUUGAGAGAGUUGUGCCAAAGCGUCCAGUAACAUUUCCUCACAAACUAAUUUUCAACUUAUGCUAAAGUCUAGGAAAUGCCAAUACGAUUUUCGUACUAACACCCUACAAACAAAUAAAUUAAAGAAAAAAAAAGUAAAAGAAGAAAAGAAUAUAAAUUCAUAUAUCUCAAUUUCUUGUGUGAAGCUUUUAAAUUCAUUUCAAAAUUAAUAUUAAAAUUUAUUUGUUUUGGUUUUCAAUAAGAUUAAGUUGGAUUUCCUAGAGCAUCAUCACUGAUCUGAUGGCAUCAGAUAAGUCUUUGAAUUACCUAAUGUGAUUGAUUGAUUGGAAUGUAUCCUUAAUACUAAAAAAAAACCAUGUGAUUGAUCGACACGUCAUUGAGCACUUCCACUCUAUCGGCAAGGGCAAGGCAAGAGCAAGAGUUUAGGAUAAGAUUUUUGGUUGCCACUUGUCCAUAUUUAUUAUAACAUUCACAUCUCAAAUUUCAUAUAAAAUUUUCGAAUAAGAUUUUCGAUUGCCACGUAUCCAUAUUUAUUAUAAAAUUCACAUUUCACUCAUCAUACAAUUGAAAUACUUGUUCACUCAUCAUACAAUUGAAAUACUCCUGGUCUUCAUAGUUCGACACAAUCGAGUACAAGGAUGACUCAAUCAUUGGAGGAGGAGAUUCCACCGGAUCACGACGUGGGGGAGUAUUUUCCUUCGAAGGAAGUAAUUGUGCCAUUAUUUUCGACACGGAAAGCACCACUAGAACCGACUACUGACAUUGUUCACUUAAGGAGCCAUGUGUAAUGGUUUUCCUCUUUUUUGUUUUGUCUUGAAUAAUGUAUUAAAAUACAAGAAAAUAUAUUUUUAAAAAUGAUAUUAAAUUGAAUAAAACGAUAAAUUUAUUUUUUUUACAUCGUCACCAAGAUUUUGACCGCUUUGAACGUUUGUCCACGACCAUCCGGUUUCGAUGGAAGAGGCCAUUUGUAUUUUUACACAAAUAAAAUUUUGUAGUAGAAAAUUUGGUGUGGAAAGUGAAAAAUAUUGGAAGGAGAUGAAUUUAUAUGAAGAUUUAGUGUGGAAAGUGAAUAAUAUUGGUAGGUAUUUAUGGAAAAAAAUUCUAGAAUUUUUUGAUAUUUUUUUUACAGCUUUUUUUAGCCAUAAAAUGGGCAACCGUUGAAUUGGAAGACAUUUUUGGAUCGGAGCCUUCAGGAGAAGCUAUGUGCUUGUAGCUGUUGGUUUCUGGCAGUGCUAAUUUUUUUAAAUUAUUGCGCUGACGUUAGCUGCAUGAAAGCAAUACAACGGGCCAGAUCUCCCCAUAGGUCCCACUCCUUACCCGAGCUGGGUCUUGCACGCUGGAACUGCCUUUCAAACCUAGAGCACCCUCCUACCUGGGCUAGCCCCUUGCCCUGGACUUGCUCUAAGACAGAAGAAUUAGCAUGUCCUUAUUAUGUAAACUUCAUUAAUAAAUUUCUACUUUGUACUUGUGGAGGCCCAUAGGAAUUUAUGAAUUAGGAUUGAGAAACAAAGGUUCAAGGGAUUGUUCCAGCUAAUCUUUACCAUAAUAAUAAUAAUAAUAAUUGUUCAGGCCGGCAGCUAAUAAUUAAGUUGGCAUUUUUUUAAGUUUUUUUUUGUCCGGCCAAUAAUAUUAUUUUGGGCCCAAAAUGAAGUAAAGGACUAAAUGUAAAUACAGAAUUGGAAUGUGCUUUUGGGCCUUUUAAGUGGCAUAGGUGGAUCAUAAUAUUGAAGUAGCCCAAACUGUUGAUUUUGGGCGAGUGAACCGGUUCCGAAACCAUGGCCGAUCCUCUCAGUCUUCUUUGCUUUAGCAACUUAUGCUUUGCUUGCUUGGUGAUUAAGCCUAACUAAGGCAAAGCGGCAGCCAGAGCAGCAUCAUUCAGAUUCAGAAGAAGUAGCAAGUAAUUAAGUAAGCUUCAGCCUCACAAACAAAUAUCAAAGCGAAGCAAUCGAAUUUGACAAAGAGAGAGAGAGAAACAGUGAGAGAUCGCGAAAUGGCGUUGCAGUGGAUGAUACUGACGUACGUGGUGGCAGCAGAGGCAGCCUUGGCCUUCCUCUUAACCCUUCCCGCGCCCAAGCUCUUGAAGAAUCAAUUCGUGUCGUUGGUCUCUCUCAUCCUCCAACCUGCCCUCUUUAUCGUUCCAUUCGCCGGCUUUCAGCUCCUUGGUUUGUUUCUUCUUCUUAUUUGAUUUUAUUUUAUUUUAUUCCUAGGGCAUACCAUACCAUAGCAACAAUCUAGCAUCGGAUUUUCCAUUUGAUCUUUUUUACCUGUUUGGGUAAUGGAUUACCAAUUGAUCUUUGACUUGCCUCUUUCUUACUUUCUCUUUUCUUUUAAAUUCUGUGUAGAUAUAUAUUGGAAGAAUGAGCACCGCCUGUCCUGCACCUCUGAGAUCUGCACCGCUGCUGAGCGUGACCGCUAUGAGAAAUCCGUCAGUUUCUAACUACUACUCUCUCUCUCUCUCUCUCGUUUUAAUUUCUUAUGUGAUUCUAAUCUUUAAUCAAGUUGAUGAUGCCUGCAACUCUUCAGCAUGCUAAAAUGAAUUUAUCAAAAAUGAAAUCAUAUAACAAAAGGAAAAUUACAUUUUGAGCAACAACUGAUGUCUCCAAUUUCCAUUCACUAUACUGUUUAACAAAUUUAUUAUAGAAUAACAGCAUUACAAAUUCAUAUUUAUUUUUCUCAAAAUCAUAAUGCCCAAUGACACGCAUACCUGUUUCUUAAUUUUGUCGUCUAAAAUUCUUGCAUAUUCGGCAUUGGAUUGUCUCGUUUCUUCGACUUUUCUUUAGGAUGGUAUCUUGAAUCUUGAAGUUUCUCAUAAUUAUUUCUGUCUUUAUGUAUUGAAAAUUUUCUGCUCUUUAUUAUCUUUAAGAUUUUCUUUGUUUUUGGGUAUUUGCGGAUGAGGGUGAAACAAGGAUUUGUGCUUGUGGAAAUAUUCUGGUAGGAUAUCAAUUGAGUGUAUUUGGAAUAUACUCUCUACUUUUGCGCUGUACAUUUCAUGAAAAACAUGAUAUGUGGUUCAGUUCUUAUAUGUUGCAAGUUGCAGCAUAUGUAGCUGUGGGAUGUCUAAUGAUUGCACAAUGAGCCCUCUGCCAAUCAAGAGAAAUGGAAGAUUCAAGUUCUAUCUACAUAUAUAUACCUUUAAAUUCUAUUAUUCUUGACACCUUUGUUGCGGAAAAUAUGUCAUGCAGAUCUACAAGGCUCAAAGGAAUGUAAUUCUUUGCGCUUCAGCAUGUCUGCUUUACUGGUAUGUUGGCUAGAGAUCAUCAAAUGACCUCAUCUUUUUGUUUUAUUUCUUUACAAGUUUAAGCAAAUAAAAAACUUGAAGGUCUUUACUAUAUUUCUGGUCAUUUGAUAGUAAUCUACAAAUGUUGGGCGCAGGUGUCUUGUUCGCAUAUGCAAAUAUUACAAGGACAUUCAGAAUUUGGAAGAAGUUGAGAAGAGGUGCAAGGAGGAGUAGCUUUUCCCAGAUAGGCUUUUGUUUGGGAGUAGAAACAACCGAGUUCAUAAAUUUUUUUUUCAUCAUAAAUGGGAAACCGAUGUGACUUCUAGUAAUAUUGUAGUGUCUUCACUUUGUGUGGUUAAUUUGUUAGUCAUCAUCUAGUAUGUGUUUCUUUCACCUUUUUCUCGUAGCAAGCUCAAAUAUACUUUUUGUUGUCAACUAUAUAUGAAAAGUAAGACAAUUAUUAUUACUGCUUAGAGAUUUGGCCAUGGCCGGUCUAUUUAUCCUUGAUUGAAUAUAUGAAUUCCAAUCUCCCUUGAUUUGUUGAGAAUCAAGGAUGGUUGCGUGCCAUGAAUUCCAAGCGUGAGUUGAGAUACUUAACCCAGCCUAGAAUGUGCGAGCCUUUACAUGGUCUUCAUUUCAUUGGCGUAUGUUUUGCUUCAAGUUUUGUUUAUACUUGAUCUUAGAUUCAUAGUCGUACAUACCAAAGAAUUCAAUAGUUGAAAUGAGGUCUUCCAUUGCGAUAGUCUUGAGUGACCGAGUCUAUAUCCAAAUUGGGAAUUUAGUCAUCUGUUUACGUACGUAUGGCUCAGCUUUUCAAAUUCUCCAGUAUUGGGAAUGAUUUGGUAUGAAUUGCAGCGUAAACUUGGUUUCACAUACGCCUGCAUUGAUCACCCAGCCCGUCUCCAUCUGAACACCCCGAUGGAGGGGGGUUUAGUAUUUGCAGUAAGAUUUGAUCCACAUUGACCCAUCAUUCACACGCUUUCAGUUCACGACAAUUGCCCUUCAAAUUUCUAAAGAAUAAUAAUGCAUUAAUUCAGGCAUGAUAAUCAACGCACACAUCUGAUUCUCGAACAAAAGCAUCAUCAAGUCAAGGAUAAGGCAAAUUUCUCAAGAGGGUAUUUGUAUGGGCUUAAGAAUAAAUUAAAUAAUGAAUCGAGUCAAGAACUAAGCACACAUUUUCUUUCUUUCUCGAAUUAUAGGGUUUUCUUUAACAUUUUUGGGAAGACUUAAGGGAUUAAAUAAAUAAAUAAAAUAGUCUUAAUAAUCGGAUUUUGCCAAGUGAGAUCAUGCCUCCAAACAAUGGAACUAACCCAAGUUUUGGGCUUGUAUUAUAUAAGCAGAAUAAGACUGCUCUCCUACUGUUUUCCCACUUCCCACAUGGAGGAGGGGCUAACUAGUUGAAAAGAUUGAAAACGAAAACACAUUCUAAAUGUGCAAUACUUUUGACAGCUUGUCGUUUGUUUUUGGGUUUUGGUAGGUAGCAUACUAGCAUCCAUGAAGUAGCCAUGUCCUUAUUAGACGAAUAAGUUUGGGACGUUUUGGUUAGUUUUUGAAGAGGUGCAUAAAAUGAGCUUGAGUCGGUACCAACAAGUUGACAAUCCCUCCUGAGUCCUAACCAAAAGGAUGUAUGUUGAAUGUUGAUUAUUAUUGCAUGAUGCAUGUGGAAUUUUAUUUUCUAAAGCAUGUUUGGAAUGGAACACACAUCAAUCCCAUCCAUCACUGCUUGAUGACUUAGAUUGAUAUAAGCUAUAAAAAUGUCAAGGGCCAAGCCAACUUGUUUGACAUCUCACGCGAACAAGCGUUCAUAUCAAAAUACCAUUUAAGCUUUAUCUAUAUACACAUUGAAAUCUCUUUAUUCAAACAGACAGACUGAAACAUGUGACAUCAUGUGAAAAGAAUGGAAUGGAAUGGAACCUCUGUUUUCACUUCCCUCUAUUCAUCUUGCAGUAUUGUAUUGUAUUACAAGUUACAACUUCAACUUUGGAGAACAAAUUAACUGAUGAAAUGAAAAUUUAAGAAUUAUCAGAAAGAAAAGAAUUCAUAAAUGUUUUCUCUGGACGAAGAUCAAAAUGACCUUCUAAUGUUCUUGAAAUCUACAGACUCAAUGCAUUCCAACCCAGCUCUGUAAGGAUUCAGGAGUUUCAAAAGCUCAGUUGUCUUCUCCUUUGUGUUGUCAUCACCGCAACGAACCUGUAAAACUAACAGGAGCUUCUGAAAUGUACCAACUUGAAGGGCCUCAACAAGAACUCUUUCUUCUUGACUGCUUGCACACUUGCACAGCUUCCAAAUAGCAGAAAUUGAAUACUCAGUCGCCAUUUCUGAUACCCUCAAAAUCUUCUUGACCAAGACAGGUAUAGUGAGAGCAUUAGCAUAGGCCUUUUCCCUCCCAUCUUGGAAAUCGCAAAGACUAUCCAAAACACCCAAAGCCCUCUCACAUAUGCCUCUUUCAGAGUCGACAAGAAUUUCCAACAAUAUGGAAACUAAACCCAUCUCCAGAAAUGCUGAUUUGAUCUUCUCACUAGAUUUAGAAGAAGAAGAAGAUGAUGAUGAUGAAACCAAGUAGAAGACCACCAUCAGUGAAGCCUUGGUAAUCGUCGGAGAAAUUUUCUCUCUGAUGAAGUCGAAAAGUACCUCAUUCACUCCACCAAUCUCCGCCAACGCAUCAACAUGUUUAUUCCGGUCAUGGCAAGCAAGAAGCUCUUUCAAUGCUAAAAUAGCAUUUUGCUUUACUGAAAGAUCAUCACUCAUCUUGAGAAACCAAACCAUGCCGUGCAACGAAGCCUGAGACCCCAAGUAUUUGUGGGCUUCCUCAUCGAAAGCUGGAAGCAUCCAACUCAGCGCAGACAAUAUCUCUUCACAAACGGUGGCAUUUCUCUUUAUGCAAUCACUUGCAAAAGAAUCAAAGGCACCAGCUAGAACAGAGGCCGUCCCAUUCUCCGAGAUGCACCGCUUGUUGCGUUCGCUCUCAGCUCCCCACUUCUUGAUUUUGUGCACACAUUCUAAGCAGCCAUGUUGAUCCAAACGUCUAGCAGAGGCUCCGAUGCUGAAAAGAAUCUCAGAGACCUCCAUUGGCAAGACAGGAAUUCUGGGUGUUGGGACACGUUCGAUGCCGUAGUGCUUGUUUUGAGUGCACCACUCUUGAAUCAUUCUUCUGAGACUAUGGUUGGGAAUCUGAUCAAAGUUUCUCAGCACCUGAUUUGUUACCGGGCAAGUGAAAUUCCCGGCUUCGAGCCACGUGUCAAUACUCUGUCUAUCGUAGGUUAUUCCGGAUGACAAUGUAACCGGAUCCUUCAUCAGGUCCAGCGAUAUUGGGCACAGGAAGUGGUUUGGGAUGAGGGCUUCCAUGUCUAGGUCCCGGGGCUGCUUUUUCUUGGUGCCGUGGCCUGUUCUCCUUCUUGUCCAGCCUAAAACCAUUGCUUGCUGAUUAGCUAGCACAGAUUAAGUUUUGAUCAGAAAAGCAGUGAGAGAAGUUGAUUCUUCUGUUUUUGUUGGUGGUGUUUUUUGUUUGUGAAAAAAUAGGAGGGGAGGUGAUGGGGUUUAUAUACUAAUAAUACUAUAUGUUGUUCCGGCCACAACUUUUCAGGUUUUCAUACACGCGGUGUUCAAAGAUGAGACCAUUUUGCAUAUGGAGAGAAAUGGGAAAGAAUUGAAUAAGUAAACAAAUUCAAGCAGAGGGUUUUAGGAAUAGUACAAUUUGAAUGUUGACCGUUGAAGCUUUGAAAGUUUUAAAAUUAACCGUCAAAAGCGGGGAAGUGGUAAAAGUAAGCUCUUCCUUCAUGGGCCUCAAAUGUACCAAAUAAACGAAUUAUGUUUUUAAAUUAUGAUGAGCUACUUUAAGUAUGGGGUUAUGUAUGAGGAUGAGGUUUUGACGCGUUGACCGAGAUUCUUUUCUUCUUCUUCUUCCGUUUUUUUUUUCUUAAUCUGAAAUUCUGAAUCAGAUAUGACGAACAAGACCGAUAUCUCAGCUGUUACAUUUUUUUCAUUUUUUCUUGUAAGUCUUUUUUUAAAAAUUUAUUUAUUUGAAAACGGAAAAUUACAAGCAAAGCAAAAACCACCAGAACACGCAGGCCCAAACAAAUCGAAGUAAAAAGAAGAGAACAUCAAUUUUUUCUUGUAAGUCUUCAUUGGUGUUUUUUUUAAUUUAUUUUUUUUCUUCGUAGUAUGUAGUAGGAGAAAAGGAAAAACAAAAAAGUCAGUCACCUCAACUUUGUAAGAACGAGUCCUAGGCUCCUCCUUAUCAGACUCUCUCAGCU
RNAcentral lists this long non-coding RNA (28818 nucleotides) under Prunus persica (peach). RNAcentral's name for it is "long non-coding RNA (PPER_LNC005542)". The stretch from base 5746 to 5852 matches the Rfam family "Plant small nucleolar RNA R71". Lineage: Eukaryota; Viridiplantae; Streptophyta; Magnoliopsida; Rosales; Rosaceae. The record is from RNAcentral.